AUCUGUUCUAUCAGUUUAAUAUCUGAUACGUCCCCUACCGGGACCAUAUAUUAAAUUGAUUUUGGAGCAGGGAGAUGGAAUAGGGCUUGCUCCGUCCACUCCACGCAUCGACCUGGUAUUGCAGUAUUUCUAGGAACGGUGC
This 142-nucleotide small nuclear RNA is filed under the name Maylandia zebra (zebra mbuna). RNAcentral's name for it is "U2 spliceosomal RNA (ENSMZEG00005023092.1)". It matches the Rfam family "U2 spliceosomal RNA", at positions 38 to 185 of the family's 192-position model. From Rfam's summary of the family: U2 is a small nuclear RNA (snRNA) component of the spliceosome (involved in pre-mRNA splicing). The record is from RNAcentral. Lineage: Eukaryota; Metazoa; Chordata; Actinopteri; Cichliformes; Cichlidae.